GACGAACGCUGGCGGCGUGCCUAAUACAUGCAAGUUGAGCGCUGAAGGUUGGUACUUGUACCAACUGGAUGAGCAGCGAACGGGUGAGUAACGCGUGGGGAAUCUGCCUCUGAGCGGGGGACAACAUUUGGAAACGAAUGCUAAUACCGCAUAAAAACUUUAAACACAAGUUUUAAGUUUGAAAGAUGCAAUUGCAUCACUCAAAGAUGAUCCCGCGUUGUAUUAGCUAGUUGGUGAGGUAAAGGCUCACCAAGGCGAUGAUACAUAGCCGACCUGAGAGGGUGAUCGGCCACAUUGGGACUGAGACACGGCCCAAACUCCUACGGGAGGCAGCAGUAGGGAAUCUUCGGCAAUGGACGAAAGUCUGACCGAGCAACGCCGCGUGAGUGAAGAAGGUUUUCGGAUCGUAAAACUCGGUUGGUAGAGAAGAACGUUGGUGAGAGUGGAAAGCUCAUCAAGUGACGGUAACUACCCAGAAAGGGACGGCUAACUACGUG
This 497-nucleotide ribosomal RNA is filed under the name uncultured bacterium. RNAcentral describes it as "partial 16S ribosomal RNA". It matches the Rfam family "Bacterial small subunit ribosomal RNA", at positions 28 to 507 of the family's 1533-position model. The record is from RNAcentral.